This is a long non-coding RNA of Anastrepha ludens (Mexican fruit fly), 1141 nucleotides long. RefSeq lists it as uncharacterized. The record is from RefSeq and is a predicted model, not a curated record. Lineage: Eukaryota; Metazoa; Arthropoda; Insecta; Diptera; Tephritidae. The transcript has 3 exons.
GCUAUCGCGCUUUACUUGUUUUGUAUCUAGAAUGCGAAGACGCUGCUGUUGAUAGUAUACUUUACGCAAUUAUUGAGAGCAGUUGUAGUAAUAUCAGUAGCAGUUUUAUUCAUUUAACUCAUAAGAAUUAACAAUAUAAGAAUUAAAAUAAUAUACAGUAGUUAUGCAGUAACGCCUGUAAAUUGUGGUACUACGCAUUUCAUCCCGGACUUUUGGCAUAUGCAUAAGCGCCUUUUAUCAAUAAUGAGUGCAUUGGCGGGAUCCUAUGAAGAGCAAUGGAUAAACAUAGCAGUUUGAGAGAUAUGUGGUGAGGAGCACGACGCCUGUCUUUUGACCAUCCUACCACGGGAUCAAAACAUGUUGCAAACUUUCAGGCGGGAUGCUAUGAAAAGCAAUGUGGUUGGUGAAUGCUAUGGAAAUCAGUUAUUAUCUGACUCUUUAUGUUGUGAAUAUACAAACCCCACGAACUAACUUACGAAAUUACGAUUAAUCCAUCUCUAUCUCACAUGUAAAGACUACGCGUGUGAAUGCAUUAACCAUCCUCGUCACAUGAGGUGGACGAAUCUCCGAAAAUAGACAAAAUUUCCAGCUGAAGUGGCAGGGCUCGCUUGCGAGCGGAAUUAUGGUCCAAUAUAAAAUUGUUAUUGUUGUCAGCUCAUUGAGUAGGCUAGAAGAAACAGUACCAAUUGCAACAUACUUCGGAAAAUCCUCAAGCUUCGCUUCGUAUAAAUCGGAAUAUCCAAAUACACUUACCAAUCUUGCAUACCGUAAGAUAUUGCAUACGUCCACCAGACUAAACAACAUAGCAACAUAUUGAUCAAAUUGUAGCUUGAGCAUGCACCAUUUCAUAGAGACAAGCUAUUUAAGGCAAUGAAGAUUGACGUCACUUCCUACCUGUUCUGGUCUCAAUCAAAGAUCUCGAGCUUUUCGGCUUGAGGGGUCAGCAACAAAAUUCCGACUCGAAAUACAAUUGCAAAUACGAAUUACGCGAGAAAUUCUCUGAAAUAUUCCCGUUCUUUUCAAAUCAAUUACAAUUAAGUUUCCGGUUUAAGAUUUAUAUUUUAUUCACUUACUUUACUUUAUAGAGUACACGUAUAUCUACAACUAUGCUAGAUUUUUAAUUAAAUUUAUACUUAUUAAU